UGGUGGAGUGAUUUGUCUGGUUAAUUCCGAUAACGAACGAGACUCUGUCCUGCUAACUAGGUUGUGUUUUCUCGGGUUGGUGUUUCUGGUGUUCCUUCUCGAGGCGCCGGCCCAAUCCACUUGUGAACACAACACUCUUCUUAGAGGGACUGGCGGCUGUUAGCCGCACGAGAUAGAGCAAUAACA
This 186-nucleotide ribosomal RNA is filed under the name uncultured eukaryote. Its description in RNAcentral is "partial 18S ribosomal RNA". It matches the Rfam family "Eukaryotic small subunit ribosomal RNA", at positions 1299 to 1458 of the family's 1831-position model. The record is from RNAcentral.